RNAcentral lists this ribosomal RNA (406 nucleotides) under uncultured bacterium. Its description in RNAcentral is "partial 16S ribosomal RNA". It matches the Rfam family "Bacterial small subunit ribosomal RNA", at positions 30 to 526 of the family's 1533-position model. The record is from RNAcentral.
AUUGAACGCUGGCGGCGGGCCUAACACAUGCAAGUCGAACGAGUGGCGGAGGGGUGAGUAAUGUCUGGGAAACUGCCUGAUGGACGGGGAUAACGACUGGAAACGGUAGCUAAUACCGCAUACCAUCGGAUGUGCCCAGAUGGGAUUAGCUAGUAGGUGGGGUAAAGGCUCACCUAGGCGACGAUCCCUAGCUGGUCUGAGAGGAUGACCAGCCACACUGGAACUGAGACACGGUCCAGACUCCUACGGGAGGCAGCAGUGGGGAAUAUUGCGCAAUGGGCGCAAGCCUGAUCCAGCCACGCCGCGUGUAUGAAGAAGGCCUUCGGGUUGUAAAGUACUUUCAGCAGGGAGGCGUUACCCGAAGAAGAAGCACCGGCUAACUCCGUGCCAGCAGCCGCGGUAAUUC